GGGGAAUAUUGCACAAUGGACGAAAGUCUGAUGCAGCAACGCCGCGUGGAGGAUGACACAUUUCGGUGCGUAAACUCCUUUUAUAUGAGAAGAUAAUGACGGUAUUAUAUGAAUAAGCACCGGCUAACUCCGUGCCAGCAGCCGCGGUAAU
This 151-nucleotide ribosomal RNA is filed under the name uncultured bacterium. Its description in RNAcentral is "partial 16S ribosomal RNA". It matches the Rfam family "Bacterial small subunit ribosomal RNA", at positions 356 to 524 of the family's 1533-position model. The record is from RNAcentral.